UGCCAGCAGCCGCGGUAAUACGUAUGGUGCAAGCGUUAUCCGGAAUUACUGGGCGUAAAGCGCGCGUAGGCGGCUUUGUAAGUCGGAUGUGAAAGCCCUGGGCUCAACCUGGGAAUGGCAUUCGAUACUGCAGAGCUAGAGUAUGGUAGAGGGAAGUGGAAUUUCCGGUGUAGCGGUGAAAUGCGUAGAUAUCGGAAGGAACACCGGUGGCGAAGGCGACUUCCUGGGCCAAUACUGACGCUGAGGCGCGAAAGCGUGGGUAGCAAACAGGAUUAGAUA
RNAcentral lists this ribosomal RNA (279 nucleotides) under uncultured bacterium. RNAcentral describes it as "partial 16S ribosomal RNA". It matches the Rfam family "Bacterial small subunit ribosomal RNA", at positions 506 to 784 of the family's 1533-position model. The record is from RNAcentral.